AGUCGAGCGGCAGCACAGGGUGCUUGCGCCUCGGUGGGGAGUGGCGAACGGGUGAGUAAUACAUCGGAAUGUACCUUGUAGGGGGGGAUAGCUCGGCGAAGGCCGGAUUAAUACCGCAUACGCUCUGAGGAGGAAAGCGGGGGACCUUCGGGCCUCGCGCUACAAGAGCAGCCGAUGUCAAAUUAACUAGUUGGUGGGGGAAAAGCUCACCAAGGCGACGAUCUGUAGCUGGUCUGAGAGGACGACCAGCCACACUGGGACUGAGACACGGCCCAGACUCCUACGGGAGGCAGCAGUGGGGAAUUUUGGACAAUGGGCGAAAGCCUGAUCCAGCAAUGCCGGGCGUGUGAAGAAAGACUUCGGGUUGUAAAGCACUUUUGUCCGGAAAGAAAUCCUCUGGGUUAAUACCUCCGGGGGAUGACGGUACCGGAAGAAUAAACACCGGCUAACUACGUGCCAGCAGCCGCGGGAAUACGUAGGGUGCAAGCGUUAAUCGGAAUUACUGGGCGUAAAGCGUGCGCACGCGGUUUUGUAAGACAGAUGUGUAAUCCCCGGGCUUAACCUGGGAACUGCAUUCGUGACUGCCAGGCUAGAGUAUGGCAGAGGGGGGUAGAAUUACACGUGUAUCAGUGAAAUGCGUACAGAUGUGUAGGAAUACCGAUCGCGAAGGCAGCCCCCUGCGUCAAUACUGACGCUCAUGCACGAAAGAGUGGGGAGCAAACAGGAUUAAAUACCCUGCCAGUCCACGCCCUAUACGAUGUCUACUAGUUGGUGGGGAGUCAUCUUCCUUACUAACGAAGCUAACGCGAGAAGUUGACCGCCCUGGGGAGGACGGUCGCGAGAUUAAAACUCAAUGGAAUUGACGGGGACGCCGCACCAGCGGUGGGAGGAUGUGGAUGUAAUUCGAUGCAACGCGACA
This 919-nucleotide ribosomal RNA is filed under the name Pandoraea pnomenusa. Its description in RNAcentral is "bacterial SSU rRNA". It matches the Rfam family "Bacterial small subunit ribosomal RNA", at positions 60 to 966 of the family's 1533-position model. The record is from RNAcentral. Lineage: Bacteria; Pseudomonadati; Pseudomonadota; Betaproteobacteria; Burkholderiales; Burkholderiaceae.